RNAcentral lists this unclassified non-coding RNA (160 nucleotides) under uncultured Alatospora. Its description in RNAcentral is "sequence contains ITS1". Lineage: Eukaryota; Fungi; Ascomycota. The record is from RNAcentral.
AAGAGUAUAGUGACUUCGGUCUACUACUCCACCCUUUGUUUACAAUACCAUUGUUGCUUUGGCAGGCCCGUCUUUUGACAACCGGCUUCGGCUGGUCAGUGCCUGCCAGAGGACCUAAAACUCAUGUUUAUAUUAUUGUCUGAGUACUAUAUAAUAGUUA